Molecule: long non-coding RNA, 620 nt
Filed under: Drosophila guanche
Lineage: Eukaryota; Metazoa; Arthropoda; Insecta; Diptera; Drosophilidae
Source: RNAcentral
GCCGUUGCCGUUGCCGUUGCCUUUGCCGCUGCCUUUGCUUUUCAAUUUCCUUGCUUGGCCCCCUGCAUGACUAACGGAUGGGACAACCAAUAUGCCAGGCUCCUGCCCCUUGGCCUCCCUCUACGUCUGUGUCUCUGUUUGUCAUUCAGUCAGUCAGUCAGUCAGUCGGCCCGUAAGCUUGUCUCUCAGCCAGUCAUUCUCUUGGGCCGACACAAGAAAAGGUUGCGGCCCGUUUUCUUUUUCAAUUUAACGCAAAAGUUUUCCAUUGAAAUUCUGCACCGAAAGUUGACCUUUUUGUGUACAAAAUUAAAGACAAAACACAAAGAUUCAAAGGCUGAAAUUCGAUACCAUAUUAAUUAUGUUGGACUUAAGCUACAGUUGGCUGCAAAAUUUGCACAACAAUUGACUUUAACUCUCACGUAAUUGAUUCAAUCAAAACUGCUACAGGAUCAUAUGUACAUAAGUAUUUGUGUUCGGUCUGUCAUUUCCAGGAUUCAUGUACAUACACAAAUGAAUGUAAUACAGAUGCAGUAACAGCAUUCAACACAAAAAUGAAUUGAUUUAAUUUGUGGCCAAAGUGUCGCCCAUUAAACUUCGAUACUAACGAACUAAAAUGUUGC